GAGGUUGUUGUUCAGAGGCAGAGCAUCUGCUUUGCAUGCCAGAAGUCCCAGGUUCAAUCACAGGCAUCUUCA
Molecule: transfer RNA, 72 nt
Filed under: Sphaerodactylus townsendi
Lineage: Eukaryota; Metazoa; Chordata; Lepidosauria; Squamata; Sphaerodactylidae
Description: tRNA-Ala
Source: RNAcentral